Molecule: ribosomal RNA, 468 nt
Filed under: uncultured bacterium
Lineage: Bacteria
Description: partial 16S ribosomal RNA
Rfam family: Bacterial small subunit ribosomal RNA
Source: RNAcentral
GACGAACGCUGGCGGCGUGCUUAACACAUGCAAGUCGAACGGAAAGGUCCUGCUUUUGUGGGGUGCUCGAGUGGCGAACGGGUGAGUAACACGCGAGUAACCUGCCCUUGACUUUGGGAUAACUUUAGGAAACUGGGGCUAAUACCGGAUAGGAGCUCCUGCUGCACGGUGGGCGUUGGAAAGUUUCGGCGGUUGGGGAUGGACUCGCGGCUUAUCCGCUUGUUGGUGGGGUAGUGGCUUACCAAGGCUUUGACGGGUAGCCGGCCUUAGAGGGUGACCGGCGACAUUGGGACUGAGGUACGGCCCAGACUCCUACGGGCGGCAGCAGUGGGGAAUAUGACACAAUGGGCGGGAGCCUGAUGCAGCAGCGCCGCGUGCGGAAUGACGGCCUUCGGGUUAAGAACCGCUUUCGCCUGUGACGAAGCGUAAGUGACGGUAAUUAGUAAAGAAGCACCGGCUAACUACGUG